GAGCCGGGGCGGACGGUCGCUGCGGUCCGGCCGCAAGGUCGGACCGGGGAGGAAAGUCCGGACUCCGCAGGGCAGGAUGUCCCUUGGAAACGGGGGAGGCCCUUCGCCAUAUCGAAGGGUACGGAAAGCGCCACAGAAAAGAUACCGUCCUGGUCCCGCCGCAAGGCGGACGCCGGGAUAAGGGUGAAAUGGUGGUGUAAGAGACCACCGCCCCGAUGGAGACGUCGGGGGCAGGGCAAGCCCCAUCCGGAGCAAGAUCGAAUAGGAAGCGAGAGGCGGCCCGUCUCGUUCGCCGGACCCGGGAAACCGGACCGGCGAUAGGCUUCGGGUUGAUCGCGCAGAUAAAUGACCGUGGCCCCGGCAGAUUCUGCCGGGGGACAGAAUCCGGCUUACAGCCCCGGCUCCAUG
RNAcentral lists this RNase P RNA (408 nucleotides) under Verrucomicrobiota bacterium. Its description in RNAcentral is "Verrucomicrobia bacterium (groundwater metagenome) RNase P RNA component class A". It matches the Rfam family "Bacterial RNase P class A". Rfam says of the family: Ribonuclease P (RNase P) is a ubiquitous endoribonuclease, found in archaea, bacteria and eukarya as well as chloroplasts and mitochondria. The record is from RNAcentral. Lineage: Bacteria; Pseudomonadati; Verrucomicrobiota.